RNAcentral lists this ribosomal RNA (2934 nucleotides) under Enterobacter ludwigii. RNAcentral's name for it is "23S ribosomal RNA". It matches the Rfam family "Bacterial large subunit ribosomal RNA". The record is from RNAcentral. Lineage: Bacteria; Pseudomonadati; Pseudomonadota; Gammaproteobacteria; Enterobacterales; Enterobacteriaceae.
GGGUUGUGAGGUUAAGCGACUAAGCGUACACGGUGGAUGCCCUGGCAGUCAGAGGCGAUGAAGGACGUGCUAAUCUGCGAAAAGCGCCGGCGAGGUGAUAUGAACCUUUGACCCGGCGAUGUCCGAAUGGGGAAACCCAGUGUGAUUCGUCACACUAUCGUUAACUGAAUACAUAGGUUAACGAGGCGAACCGGGGGAACUGAAACAUCUAAGUACCCCGAGGAAAAGAAAUCAACCGAGAUUCCCCCAGUAGCGGCGAGCGAACGGGGAGCAGCCCAGAGUCUGAAUCAGCUUGUGUGUUAGUGGAAGCGUCUGGAAAGUCGCACGGUACAGGGUGACAGUCCCGUACACGAAAGCACACAGGCUGUGAACUCGAAGAGUAGGGCGGGACACGUGGUAUCCUGUCUGAAUAUGGGGGGACCAUCCUCCAAGGCUAAAUACUCCUGACUGACCGAUAGUGAACCAGUACCGUGAGGGAAAGGCGAAAAGAACCCCGGCGAGGGGAGUGAAAAAGAACCUGAAACCGUGUACGUACAAGCAGUGGGAGCCUCUUUUAUGGGGUGACUGCGUACCUUUUGUAUAAUGGGUCAGCGACUUAUAUUCUGUAGCAAGGUUAACCGUAUAGGGGAGCCGAAGGGAAACCGAGUCUUAACUGGGCGUUAAGUUGCAGGGUAUAGACCCGAAACCCGGUGAUCUAGCCAUGGGCAGGUUGAAGGUUGGGUAACACUAACUGGAGGACCGAACCGACUAAUGUUGAAAAAUUAGCGGAUGACUUGUGGCUGGGGGUGAAAGGCCAAUCAAACCGGGAGAUAGCUGGUUCUCCCCGAAAGCUAUUUAGGUAGCGCCUCGUGAACUCAUCUUCGGGGGUAGAGCACUGUUUCGGCUAGGGGGCCAUCCCGGCUUACCAACCCGAUGCAAACUACGAAUACCGAAGAAUGUUAUCACGGGAGACACACGGCGGGUGCUAACGUCCGUCGUGAAGAGGGAAACAACCCAGACCGCCAGCUAAGGUCCCAAAGUCAUGGUUAAGUGGGAAACGAUGUGGGAAGGCACAGACAGCCAGGAUGUUGGCUUAGAAGCAGCCAUCAUUUAAAGAAAGCGUAAUAGCUCACUGGUCGAGUCGGCCUGCGCGGAAGAUGUAACGGGGCUAAACCAUGCACCGAAGCUGCGGCAGCGACGCUUAUGCGUUGUUGGGUAGGGGAGCGUUCUGUAAGCCGUUGAAGGUGUCCUGUGAGGGGUGCUGGAGGUAUCAGAAGUGCGAAUGCUGACAUAAGUAACGAUAAAGCGGGUGAAAAGCCCGCUCGCCGGAAGACCAAGGGUUCCUGUCCAACGUUAAUCGGGGCAGGGUGAGUCGACCCCUAAGGCGAGGCCGAAAGGCGUAGUCGAUGGGAAACAGGUUAAUAUUCCUGUACUUGGUGUUACUGCGAAGGGGGGACGGAGAAGGCUAUGUUAGCCGGGCGACGGUUGUCCCGGUUUAAGCAUGUAGGCGGAGGUUCCAGGUAAAUCCGGUUCCUUGUUAACGCUGAGGUGUGAUGACGAGGCACUACGGUGCUGAAGUAACAAAUGCCCUGCUUCCAGGAAAAGCCUCUAAGCAUCAGGUAACACGAAAUCGUACCCCAAACCGACACAGGUGGUCAGGUAGAGAAUACCAAGGCGCUUGAGAGAACUCGGGUGAAGGAACUAGGCAAAAUGGUGCCGUAACUUCGGGAGAAGGCACGCUGAUAUGUAGGUGAAGCCCCUGCGGGUGGAGCUGAAAUCAGUCGAAGAUACCAGCUGGCUGCAACUGUUUAUUAAAAACACAGCACUGUGCAAACACGAAAGUGGACGUAUACGGUGUGACGCCUGCCCGGUGCCGGAAGGUUAAUUGAUGGGGUUAGCGGUAACGCGAAGCUCUUGAUCGAAGCCCCGGUAAACGGCGGCCGUAACUAUAACGGUCCUAAGGUAGCGAAAUUCCUUGUCGGGUAAGUUCCGACCUGCACGAAUGGCGUAAUGAUGGCCAGGCUGUCUCCACCCGAGACUCAGUGAAAUUGAACUCGCUGUGAAGAUGCAGUGUACCCGCGGCAAGACGGAAAGACCCCGUGAACCUUUACUAUAGCUUGACACUGAACACUGGUCCUUGAUGUGUAGGAUAGGUGGGAGGCUUUGAAGCGUGGACGCCAGUCUGCGUGGAGCCAACCUUGAAAUACCACCCUUUAAUGGCUGGUGUUCUAACGUAGACCCGUGAUCCGGGUUGCGGACAGUGUCUGGUGGGUAGUUUGACUGGGGCGGUCUCCUCCCAAAGAGUAACGGAGGAGCACGAAGGUUAGCUAAUCCUGGUCGGACAUCAGGAGGUUAGUGCAAUGGCAUAAGCUAGCUUGACUGCGAGAGUGACGGCUCGAGCAGGUGCGAAAGCAGGUCAUAGUGAUCCGGUGGUUCUGAAUGGAAGGGCCAUCGCUCAACGGAUAAAAGGUACUCCGGGGAUAACAGGCUGAUACCGCCCAAGAGUUCAUAUCGACGGCGGUGUUUGGCACCUCGAUGUCGGCUCAUCACAUCCUGGGGCUGAAGUAGGUCCCAAGGGUAUGGCUGUUCGCCAUUUAAAGUGGUACGCGAGCUGGGUUUAGAACGUCGUGAGACAGUUCGGUCCCUAUCUGCCGUGGGCGCUGGAGAAUUGAGGGGGGCUGCUCCUAGUACGAGAGGACCGGAGUGGACGCAUCACUGGUGUUCGGGUUGUCAUGCCAAUGGCACUGCCCGGUAGCUAAAUGCGGAAGAGAUAAGUGCUGAAAGCAUCUAAGCACGAAACUUGCCCCGAGAUGAGUUCUCCCUGAGACUUUAAGUCUCCUGAAGGAACGUUGAAGACUACGACGUUGAUAGGUCGGGUGUGUAAGCGCAGCGAUGCGUUGAGCUAACCGAUACUAAUGAACCGUGAGGCUUAACCUUACAACGCCGAAGGUGUUU